UACGUAGGGUGCAGGCGUUAAUCAGAAUUACUGGGCGUAAAGCGUGCGCAGGCGGUCUUUUAAGUCAGAUGUGAAAUCCCCGGGCUUAACCUGGGAACUGCGUUUGAAACUGAAGGGCUAGAGUGUGGCAGAGGGGGGUGGAAUUCCACGUGUAGCAGUGAAAUGCGUAGAGAUGUGGAGGAACACCGAUGGCGAAGGCAGCCCCCUGGGUCAACACUGACGCUCAUGCACGAAAGCGUGGGGAGCAAACAGG
Molecule: ribosomal RNA, 253 nt
Filed under: uncultured bacterium
Lineage: Bacteria
Description: partial 16S ribosomal RNA
Rfam family: Bacterial small subunit ribosomal RNA
Source: RNAcentral